RNAcentral lists this long non-coding RNA (226 nucleotides) under Coffea arabica (coffee). Its description in RNAcentral is "long non-coding RNA (CARA_LNC006020)". The record is from RNAcentral. Lineage: Eukaryota; Viridiplantae; Streptophyta; Magnoliopsida; Gentianales; Rubiaceae.
AUUGACUCAAGAACUAUAGAGAAAAUCUUAUACUCAAGAAAUGUUUCGACAACACAUUUUUUUGAGGACUUGGAUUUGUUUUGUAAAACUGCCUUGACUUGUAUGUGAAAUUUAGGCCAAAUGCCACUUAGCAAAGUAUUUGUAGGAUGUUGUUGAACUUGAUUAUGAUAUUCGAAUGCUUCAAAUGAUAUUUUGGCAUUUCGUAAUGUAAUGGAUGCCUUCAUUA